RNAcentral lists this ribosomal RNA (870 nucleotides) under Agaricus sp. ZRLWXH3150. RNAcentral's name for it is "eukaryotic LSU rRNA". It matches the Rfam family "Eukaryotic large subunit ribosomal RNA", at positions 71 to 928 of the family's 3401-position model. Lineage: Eukaryota; Fungi; Basidiomycota; Agaricomycetes; Agaricales; Agaricaceae. The record is from RNAcentral.
AGGAUUCCCCUAGUAACUGCGAGUGAAGCGGGAAAAGCUCAAAUUUAAAAUCUGGCAGUCUCUGGCUGUCCGAGUUGUAAUCUAGAGAAGUAAUGCCCGUGCUGGACCGUGUAUAAGUCUCCUGGGAUGGGGCGUCAUAGAGGGUGAGAAUCCCGUCUUUGACACGGACUACCAGUGCAUUGUGGUAUGCUCUCAAAGAGUCGAGUUGUUUGGGAAUGCAGCUCAAAAUGGGUGGUAAAUUCCAUCUAAAGCUAAAUAUUGGCGAGAGACCGAUAGCGAACAAGUACCGUGAGGGAAAGAUGAAAAGAACUUUGGAAAGAGAGUUAAACAGUACGUGAAAUUGCUGAAAGGGAAACGCUUGAAGUCAGUCGCGUUGGCCGGGAAUCAGCCUUGCUUUUGCAUGGUGUACUUUCUGGUUGACGGGUCAGCAUCAAUUUUGACUGCUGGAAAAAGGCCUGGGGAAUGUGGCAGCUUCGGCUGUGUUAUAGCCCCUAGUCACAUACAGUAGUUGGGAUUGAGGAACUCAGCACGCCGCAAGGCCGGGUUUCGACCACGUUCGUGCUUAGGAUGCUGGCAUAAUGGCUUUAAGCGACCCGUCUUGAAACACGGACCAAGGAGUCUAACAUGCCUGCGAGUAUUUGGGUGGAAAACUCAAGUGCGUAAUGAAAGUGAAAGUUGAGAUCCCUGUCGUGGGGAGCAUCGACGCCCGGACCAGAACUUUUGGGACGGAUCCGCGGUGGAGCAUGUAUGUUGGGACCCGAAAGAUGGUGAACUAUGCCUGAAUAGGGUGAAGCCAGAGGAAACUCUGGUGGAGGCUCGUAGCGAUUCUGACGUGCAAAUCGAUCGUCAAAUUUGGGUAUAGGGGCGAAA